RNAcentral lists this ribosomal RNA (588 nucleotides) under uncultured Sistotrema. RNAcentral describes it as "eukaryotic LSU rRNA". The stretch from base 164 to 317 matches the Rfam family "5.8S ribosomal RNA". The record is from RNAcentral. Lineage: Eukaryota; Fungi; Basidiomycota; Agaricomycetes; Corticiales; Corticiaceae.
GUGGCUGCAUGUGCUCGCUCGCUCUUUAAUCCAUUUUCACAUGUGCACCUAAAUUAUUAUUUUUUGGAGGUCUGGCUUUGAGAGAGGGCCUAGCCUUUGGAAAGUUUUUAUAAACUCUUAUUUAAUGUAACUGGAUGUUUAUCUGCCGAAAGGCAAUAAUUACAACUUUUAACAACGGAUCUCUUGGCUCUCGCAUCGAUGAAGAACGCAGCGAAAUGCGAUAAGUAAUGUGAAUUGCAGAAUUCAGUGAAUCAUCGAAUCUUUGAACGCACCUUGCACUCUCUGGUAUUCCGGAGAGUACGCCUGUUCGAGUGUCAUGAGACUCUCAAGCAGAGAAAGCUUUCUCUGCUUGGAAUUGGACUCUGCUGUGUGUAAAUGCGGCUAGUCUUAAAUGGAUUAGCUAGUCCUUGUGCAGAAUUUGGUUCUACUCAGCGUGAUAAUUAUCUGGCGUUGAGGACAGUCUCUAGGACUGGCCAGAGCGCAUGUAUUUGGAUUGCUUCUAAUUAAUUGUCCUCGGACAAAAUUUUAUCUUAAUGAUCUGACCUCGAAUCAGGUGGGAUUACCCGCUGAACUUAAGCAUAUCAAUAA